RNAcentral lists this ribosomal RNA (429 nucleotides) under uncultured Solirubrobacterales bacterium. RNAcentral describes it as "bacterial SSU rRNA". It matches the Rfam family "Bacterial small subunit ribosomal RNA", at positions 355 to 776 of the family's 1533-position model. Lineage: Bacteria; Bacillati; Actinomycetota; Thermoleophilia; Solirubrobacterales. The record is from RNAcentral.
UGGGGAAUCUUGCGCAAUGCGCGAAAGCGUGACGCAGCAACGCCGCGUGGGGGAAGACGGCCUUCGGGUUGUAAACCCCUUUCAGGAGGGACGAAGGUUCGCCGGUGAAUAGCCGUGCGGAUUGACGGUACCUCCACAAGAAGCUCCGGCUAACUACGUGCCAGCAGCCGCGGUAAUACGUAGGGAGCAAGCGUUGUCCGGAAUCAUUGGGCGUAAAGCGCGCGUAGGUGGCUUCGUAAGUCCGUUGUGAAAGUCAAAGGCUCAACCUUUGAAAGCCGAUGGAUACUGCGGAGCUAGAGUACGGAAGAGGCGAGUGGAAUUCCUGGUGUAGCGGUGGAAUGCGCAGAUAUCAGGAGGAACACCAAUAGCGAAGGCAGCUCGCUGGGACGUUACUGACACUGAGGCGCGAAAGCGUGGGGAGCGAACAGG